GACGAACGCUGGCGGCGUGCUUAACACAUGCAAGUCGAACGGAAAGGCCCUGCUUUUGUGGGGUGCUCGAGUGGCGAACGGGUGAGUAACACGUGAGUAACCUGCCCUUGACUUUGGGAUAACUUCAGGAAACUGGGGCUAAUACCGGAUAGGAGCUCCUGCUGCAUGGUGGGGGUUGGAAAGUUUCGGCGGUUGGGGAUGGACUCGCGGCUUAUCAGCUUGUUGGUGGGGUAGUGGCUUACCAAGGCUUUGACGGGUAGCCGGCCUGAGAGGGUGACCGGCCACAUUGGGACUGAGAUACGGCCCAGACUCCUACGGGAGACAGCAGUGGGGAAUAUUGCACAAUGGGCGGAAGCCUGAUGCAGCAACGCCGCGUGCGGGAUGACGGCCUUCGGGUUGUAAACCGCUUUCGCCUGUGACGAAGCGUGAGUGACGGUAAUGGGUAAAGAAGCACCGGCUAACUACG
RNAcentral lists this ribosomal RNA (466 nucleotides) under uncultured bacterium. RNAcentral describes it as "partial 16S ribosomal RNA". It matches the Rfam family "Bacterial small subunit ribosomal RNA", at positions 28 to 505 of the family's 1533-position model. The record is from RNAcentral.